RNAcentral lists this ribosomal RNA (481 nucleotides) under uncultured bacterium. Its description in RNAcentral is "bacterial SSU rRNA". It matches the Rfam family "Bacterial small subunit ribosomal RNA", at positions 29 to 524 of the family's 1533-position model. The record is from RNAcentral.
AACAAACGCUGGCGGCGUGCCUAAUACAUGCAAGUCGAACGGGGAAAGUAGCAAUAUGAGUACUAGUGGCGCACGGGUGAGUAACGCGUGGGUAAUCUUCCUUGAAGCGUGGGAUAACCAGUCGAAAGAUUGGCUAAUACCACAUAAGACCACAGGAUCUGCGGAUCUAGGGGUCAAAGGUUUUUCGCUUUAAGAUGAGCCCGCGUAGGAUUAGCUAGUUGGUAGGGUAACGGCCUACCAAGGCAACGAUCUUUAACUGGUCUUAGAGGAUGAUCAGUCACACUGGAACUGAGACACGGUCCAGACUCCUACGGGAGGCAGCAGUAGGGAACAUUGCACAAUGGAGGAAACUCUGAUGCAGCGACGCCGCGUGAGUGAUGAAGGACUUCGGUUCGUAAAGCUCUGUUGCAAGGGAAAAAGCAAGUGAUUGUACCUUGCGAGAAAAGGGUCGGCUAAACUUCGUGCCAGCAGCCGCGGUAAU